RNAcentral lists this ribosomal RNA (394 nucleotides) under uncultured bacterium. RNAcentral's name for it is "bacterial SSU rRNA". It matches the Rfam family "Bacterial small subunit ribosomal RNA", at positions 28 to 423 of the family's 1533-position model. The record is from RNAcentral.
GACGAACGCUGGCGGCGUGCUUAACACAUGCAAGUCGAGCGGUAAGGCCCUUUCGGGGGUACACGAGCGGCGAACGGGUGAGUAACACGUGGGUGACCUGCCCUUAGCUCUGGGAUAAGCCUGGGAAACUGGGUCUAAUACCGGAUAUGACUCCAUGACGCAUGUUGUGGGGUGGAAAGCCUUGUGCGGCUAGGGAUGGGCCCGCGGCCUAUCAGCUUGUUGGUGGGGUGANGGCCUACCAAGGCGACGACGGGUAGCCGGCCUGAGAGGGCGACCGGCCACACUGGGACUGAGACACGGCCCAGACUCCUACGGGAGGCAGCAGCGGGGAAUCUUGCGCAAUGGGCGAAAGCCUGACGCAGCGACGCCGCGUGAGGGAUGACGGCCUCGGUGU